GACCCAUCAUAUUGGACUAGGUCAGGU
This 27-nucleotide non-coding RNA is filed under the name Mus musculus (house mouse). The record is from RNAcentral. Lineage: Eukaryota; Metazoa; Chordata; Mammalia; Rodentia; Muridae.